CCUACGGGGGGCUGCAGUGGGGAAUAUUGGACAAUGGGGGGAACCCUGAUCCAGCCAUGCCGCGUGUGUGAAGAAGGCCCUCGGGUUGUAAAGCACUUUCAGUGAGGAAGAACGCCUGGUGGUUAAUACCCAUCAGGAAAGACAUCACUCACAGAAGAAGCACCGGCUAACUCCGUGCCAGCAGCCGCGGUAAUACGGAGGGUGCGAGCGUUAAUCGGAAUUACUGGGCGUAAAGCGCGCGUAGGUGGCUUGAUAAGCCGGUUGUGAAAGCCCCGGGCUCAACCUGGGAACGGCAUCCGGAGGUGGGAAGCGAGCGUGCGGGAGGGGGGGGGCGGAGCCCCGGCGGCGAGGUGAAGUGCGCGGAGAGCGGGACGAAGCGCAGUGGGCAAGGGGGAAUUGCGGCAUGCCAGUGACACUGAGGUGCGAAUGCGUGGGGAGCCGACCGGAUUAGAUAGCCUGGUAGGC
Molecule: ribosomal RNA, 465 nt
Filed under: Vreelandella stevensii
Lineage: Bacteria; Pseudomonadati; Pseudomonadota; Gammaproteobacteria; Oceanospirillales; Halomonadaceae
Description: partial 16S ribosomal RNA
Rfam family: Bacterial small subunit ribosomal RNA
Source: RNAcentral